UUACCCUACGGGACGCAGCAGUGGGGAAUAUUGCGCAAUGGACGAAAGUCUGACGCAGCGACGCCGCGUGAGGGAUGAAGGUUUUCGGAUCGUAAACCUCUGUCAGGAGGGAAGAAAAAAGACUGUACCUGAGAAGAAAGCUCCGGCUAACUACGUGCCAGCAGCCGCGGUAAUACGUAGGGAGCAAGCGUUAUCCGGAAUUAUUGGGUGUAAAGGGUGCGCAGGCGGCGAGUUAAGUCAGCGGUAAAAUUUCGGGGCUCAACCCCGACGAGCCGUUGAAACUGGCUUGCUAGAGUGGGCGAGAA
This 305-nucleotide ribosomal RNA is filed under the name uncultured bacterium. Its description in RNAcentral is "bacterial SSU rRNA". It matches the Rfam family "Bacterial small subunit ribosomal RNA", at positions 334 to 656 of the family's 1533-position model. The record is from RNAcentral.